Molecule: ribosomal RNA, 484 nt
Filed under: uncultured bacterium
Lineage: Bacteria
Description: partial 16S ribosomal RNA
Rfam family: Bacterial small subunit ribosomal RNA
Source: RNAcentral
AUUGAACGCUGGCGGCAUGCUUUACACAUGCAAGUCGAACGGCAGCGCGGGCUUCGGCCUGGCGGCGAGUGGCGAACGGGUGAGUAAUACAUCGGAACGUGCCCAGUAGUGGGGGAUAGCUCGGCGAAAGCCGGAUUAAUACCGCAUACGACCUGAGGGUGAAAGCGGGGGAUCUUCGGACCUCGCGCUAUUGGAGCGGCCGAUGGCAGAUUAGCUAGUUGGUGGGGUAAAGGCCUACCAAGGCGACGAUCUGUAGCUGGUCUGAGAGGACGACCAGCCACACUGGGACUGAGCCACGGCCCAGACUCCUACGGGAGGCAGCAGUGGGGAAUUUUGGACAAUGGGCGAAAGCCUGAUCCAGCAAUGCCGCGUGUGUGAUGAAGGCCUUCGGGUUGUAAAGCACUUUUGGCGGGAACGAAAAGGACUGUGCCAAUACCACGGUUCGAUGACGGUACCCGCAGAAUAAGCACCGGCUAACUACGUG